ACGGAUCUCUUGGUUCUCGCAUCGAUGAAGAACGCAGCAAAGCGCGAUAGGUAAUGCGAAUUGCAGACGUGAGUCAUUGAAUCUUUGAACGCACAUUGCGCCGGACACCGGCAUGCGGGGUUGAGCGUCACACCCUCUCCACA
This 143-nucleotide ribosomal RNA is filed under the name [Candida] sp. SL 040806. RNAcentral's name for it is "Candida sp. SL 040806 5.8S ribosomal RNA". It matches the Rfam family "5.8S ribosomal RNA". From Rfam's summary of the family: 5.8S ribosomal RNA (5.8S rRNA) is a component of the large subunit of the eukaryotic ribosome. It is transcribed by RNA polymerase I as part of the 45S precursor that also contains 18S and 28S rRNA. Lineage: Eukaryota; Fungi; Ascomycota; Saccharomycetes; Saccharomycetales. The record is from RNAcentral.